RNAcentral lists this ribosomal RNA (497 nucleotides) under uncultured bacterium. RNAcentral's name for it is "partial 16S ribosomal RNA". It matches the Rfam family "Bacterial small subunit ribosomal RNA", at positions 28 to 507 of the family's 1533-position model. The record is from RNAcentral.
GAUGAACGCUGGCGGCGUGCCUAAUACAUGCAAGUCGAGCGAACAGACGAGGAGCUUGCUCCUCUGACGUUAGCGGCGGACGGGUGAGUAACACGUGGAUAACCUACCUAUAAGACUGGGAUAACUUCGGGAAACCGGAGCUAAUACCGGAUAAUAUAUUGAACCGCAUGGUGCAAUAGUGAAAGACGGUUUUGCUGUCACUUAUAGAUGGAUCCGCGCCGCAUUAGCUAGUUGGUAAGGUAACGGCUUACCAAGGCAACGAUGCGUAGCAGACCUGAGAGGGUGGUCGACCAUCCUGUAUCUGAGGCUCGGUCCAGACUCCUGCGGUAGGCAGCAGUAGGGAAUCUUCCGCGAUGGGCGAAUGCUUGACGGAGCAACGCCGCGUGAGUGAUGAAGGUCUUCGGAUCGUAGAACUCUGUUAUUAGGGAAGUACAAAUGUGUAUUUACCUAUGCACGUCUUGACGGUACCUAGUCAGAAAGCCACGGCUAACUACGUG